Long non-coding RNA from Oreochromis aureus, 283 nucleotides. RefSeq lists it as uncharacterized. The transcript has 3 exons. Lineage: Eukaryota; Metazoa; Chordata; Actinopteri; Cichliformes; Cichlidae. The record is from RefSeq and is a predicted model, not a curated record.
UCCAGAGUCGCUUGGAUCUCAAAGAACCAGUCCAGAAAGAACAGAAGUACCGAAACAAAAUAAUUGGGACUCUUUAUGAAAUGCUGUCACAGUACACAAUGUACCCAACCCACUCAGACUACAUCCAGGUCAUCAAAGCCCUGAUUGUGAAGUAUCCUUUCUUAAGAGAUGUACACGGAAAUGGUUAUGACACCUGGCACAGCCAACUCAAGAGAAAGUUCAAAGCAGAACGGGCUCCCCUAAUCAGCAACGAAGAAGUGAACCGGGUUAAAGAAAAGUUUGG